GCGAAAUGCGAUACGUAGUGUGAAUUGCAGAAUUCCGCGAAUCAUCGAGUCUUUGAACGCAACUUGCGCCCGAGGCUCGUCCGAGGGCAUUUCCGCCAGAGCGUCACGCG
RNAcentral lists this ribosomal RNA (110 nucleotides) under Spiridens reinwardtii. Its description in RNAcentral is "partial 5.8S ribosomal RNA". It matches the Rfam family "5.8S ribosomal RNA", at positions 48 to 154 of the family's 154-position model. Rfam says of the family: 5.8S ribosomal RNA (5.8S rRNA) is a component of the large subunit of the eukaryotic ribosome. It is transcribed by RNA polymerase I as part of the 45S precursor that also contains 18S and 28S rRNA. Lineage: Eukaryota; Viridiplantae; Streptophyta; Bryopsida; Hypnodendrales; Spiridentaceae. The record is from RNAcentral.